Camelina sativa (false flax) is the source of this 436-nucleotide non-coding RNA. The record is from RefSeq and is a predicted model, not a curated record. NCBI's taxonomy places the organism in Eukaryota, Viridiplantae, Streptophyta, Magnoliopsida, Brassicales, Brassicaceae.
AAUAAACUCAAAGCUACAAAGAAACAAGCUCUGCUUACAAGACACCAACAUUGGACAACAAGUUCUACAGUCCAUCUUUCAAAAGAGUAUCAUGGACCAGAGUAAUCGAUCAACAAAUUUGAUUGUAAUUAAUAUCAGCCAUAUUUGUAAGAAAAAUAUGAUCGAUUAUAGUCAUGCAUAUUUUCGGAUUAUAUCUAAAGAAGACUACAAUGAAGAUGGUCCUAUGGACGAUAUUAUGAUUCUUUCAACAACUACAAGAUCUAAAUUCUCGGAUUGGAUUGUAUUUAAUACACAAACUCCCCAAGCAAAAAAAAAUCACAUAUGUUGAAAUUUCAAUUCCAUCUCUUUGCUGUCACAAAAGAUGAUAAGGAACCCCACAAUAUUUCUAUAACAUUUAUUCCAUUAUUUUAAUGUUAUUUGUUUUAAUGUAUCAAUA